UACGUAGGGGGCUAGCGUUGUCCGGAAUCAUUGGGCGUAAAGCGCGUGUAGGCGGUCCGGUAAGUCCGCUGUGAAAGUCGGGGGCUCAACCCUCGAAUGCCGGUGGAUACUGUCGGGCUAGAGUGCGGAAGAGGCGAGUGGAAUUCCUGGUGUAGCGGUGAAAUGCGCAGAUAUCAGGAGGAACACCAAUGGCGAAGGCAGCUCGCUGGGACGCGACUGACGCUGAGACGCGAAAGCGUGGGGAGCAAACAGG
RNAcentral lists this ribosomal RNA (253 nucleotides) under uncultured bacterium. RNAcentral describes it as "partial 16S ribosomal RNA". It matches the Rfam family "Bacterial small subunit ribosomal RNA", at positions 524 to 776 of the family's 1533-position model. The record is from RNAcentral.